ACGUAGGUGGCAAGCGUUAUCCGGAUUUACUGGGUGUAAAGGGCGUGUAGGCGGUUUUGUAAGUCGGAUGUGAAAUUCCCAGGCUUAACUUGGGAGCUGCAUUCGAAACUGCAAAACUUGAGUAUUGGAGAGGUAAGUGGAAUUCCUAGUGUAGCGGUAAAAUGCGUAGAUAUUAGGAGGAACAUCAGUGGCGAAGGCGGCUAUCCGGACAAUAACUGACGCUGAGGCGCGAAAGCGUGGGGAGCAAACAG
RNAcentral lists this ribosomal RNA (251 nucleotides) under uncultured prokaryote. RNAcentral describes it as "partial 16S rRNA". It matches the Rfam family "Bacterial small subunit ribosomal RNA", at positions 525 to 775 of the family's 1533-position model. The record is from RNAcentral.